Molecule: ribosomal RNA, 306 nt
Filed under: uncultured bacterium
Lineage: Bacteria
Description: partial 16S ribosomal RNA
Rfam family: Bacterial small subunit ribosomal RNA
Source: RNAcentral
GACAGCAGCCGCCACGGGAAUACGUAGGUGGCAAGCGUUGUCCGGAAUUAUUGGGCGUAAAGGGCUCGCAGGCGGUUUCUUAAGUCUGAUGUGAAUGCCCCCGGUUCAACCGGGGAGGGUCAUUGGAAACUGGGAAACUUGAGUGCAGAAGAGGAGAGUGGAAUUCCACGUGUAGCGGUGAAAUGCGUAGAGAUGUGGAGGAACACCAGUGGCGAAGGCGACUCUCUGGUCUGUAACUGACGCUGAGGAGCGAAAGCGUGGGGAGCGAACAGGAUUAGAUACCCCCGUAGUCCCUGUCUCUUAUAC